UCCUCCGCCACCUCCCCAGCCUCACUGUCCUGUCCUGAAAAUGAGCAGCGCCCAGCGUUCCCUCCUGGAAGGGGGCGGGGUGUUCACGGGGAGGGAGAGGACAAACCCCACUUUGCAUCCAGCGGGGACUUAGUGAUCGGCAGCCGACAGCCGUGACGUGUUGGAGCCAAACCAUAAUCCUGGGAGACAGGCCAGAAUAACUUGGCGAGGUCCUUCCCUCGGGGAUGCAGAUGGACAAGUGACCUGCCCAGGGUCACCCAGCUCACAAGUGGCAAGCUCGUCUAGCCCUGAAGUCUGUGAUUUUGGUCUCCAUUCCAGGCUGCCCCUCUGGGGUUCGGGCCCCACAUCAGCCACUGUACCACGGAAUCGGCCCACAAGGCUGUAAGCUGGGGUCUGUCCUUGGUUCCGUCUUAAGCUAGAGGCUCAGAGAGGUAUUUUCUCCCAGGCAUCCAGAAAAGUCACAGCAAUGUUGUGCAAUGAAUGACUGAAUACACAGUGUCUUCUCCUUUGAGAAACUACCUGGCUCCAUCUCGGCCUUCGCUCCACUGGGACUGGGUUCCUCUCCAAGAUCAGGGCUCGGAGAGUCAAACUCAGUGCAUAACACUGCACCGGACUCCUCACCUAGGGUCUGUAGGUGGCUCUGAGGCUCCAUGACCACCACUGCCAUGAAGUUCCUAACAUUUUGUGUCUAUAUGCAAUUUUCUGGAGAUACAACUCAAAGCUUUCACUAAACUUUCAAACUUCGAAAACUUGAUACUGCUGCAUCAGCGAGGAAUUUCCCUGCCUUCUGACCUCAGUCCAGAUCUUGUGACAUAGCCUGCAUUCACCUGUAUAUCCAUCCAACUCACC
Saimiri boliviensis boliviensis (Bolivian squirrel monkey) is the source of this 849-nucleotide long non-coding RNA. RefSeq lists it as uncharacterized. NCBI's taxonomy places the organism in Eukaryota, Metazoa, Chordata, Mammalia, Primates, Cebidae. The record is from RefSeq and is a predicted model, not a curated record.